RNAcentral lists this ribosomal RNA (194 nucleotides) under uncultured bacterium. RNAcentral describes it as "partial 16S ribosomal RNA". It matches the Rfam family "Bacterial small subunit ribosomal RNA", at positions 338 to 524 of the family's 1533-position model. The record is from RNAcentral.
CCUACGGGAGGCAGCAGUGGGGAAUAUUGGACAAUGGGCGAAAGCCUGAUCCAGCCAUGCCGCGUGUGUGAAGAAGGUCUUCGGAUUGUAAAGCACUUUAAGUUGGGAGGAAGGGCCAUUACCUAAUACGUGAUGGUUUUGACGUUACCGACAGAAUAAGCACCGGCUAACUCUGUGCCAGCAGCCGCGGUAAU